AUUAUAUACUCAGAAACAAGAUUGAGAACGAGUUUAUCACACUCAAUUGCUAUAGUUAGCAAAACAAGACCAAUUUUGAACGCAAAGUUUGGGAUGGGCUUUAUAUAUAUAACUAAGUGGACCUUCGUCCAUAUAUCACUUACCCAUGCAUACUUUUCUAAUGUGAUCUUUAAUUUUGUCCCACAUCGCUAUUCUGAAAAACAAUGUUGCUGUAUAUAUAACAUUGAAAAAGCAUCACUUGUCACGACCUUACUUGAACAGGAUCUGUUCUAUAGGCUCGUACAUCUGUUUCCUUGAUUUCUCAAGAGACAGACCCUUUACCCUGGUUGAUGAACUAUGACUGUGCGACUAGAGCGUGAUUGACGGCUACGAUCGUCUUAGGACGCAUCCGGUGCUGUAGAGGAUCGUUACUCGGCUCGGUUCUACCCGACCGGGGUGGUCGCACGGCGGUCUGACAGGUUGAAUAAGACAUGGGACUUGAUGAUAUCUAUGACUAUGGGAUAAACAGCCCAUUAGACUACAGUUCUGAAGAGGAGGAAGAUAGCAGUUACUAUCAUCUGCAACCUCAGACUGUGAAGAGGAGUCUGUGGAGCUGUGAUGCUGAACCAACAAAACCUGAUUAUGAGACAGAACUGAUGAAGUUCAAGGAUGACCAAAACCAUUAAGAUCAGAGGUUGGUGAAACUGGAGAGGCUUGUUACUGAGUUAGGUGAGAAGAAACCAUUGUUCAACUUGGCCCCUGAAUUGGUAGUUGCUGUUUGCUUCAGUAUGAGUGUUUUGGUAGUGGCACUCAUCAUGUUUAUUAAGUAAAUUAGAGUAGUCGGCAAGUUCAGCAUAUAAUGUAUGAUUGUAGGCACAGUUUUAAAGCCAGACUCAUGUGCAUUUGUUUUGUAUGUUUUGGAAAACAAAAUUUGACAAGAGUCACAUGCUUUUGUUUGUAUGAAAGACCAAAGUUCACA
Molecule: long non-coding RNA, 958 nt
Organism: Arabidopsis lyrata subsp. lyrata
Lineage: Eukaryota; Viridiplantae; Streptophyta; Magnoliopsida; Brassicales; Brassicaceae
Exons: 2
Source: RefSeq, a predicted model, not a curated record